UAUCCUAACUGAAAAUACACAAAAUCACAAAAUGUGCUUAUUGUGAUAACGUAAGGGAAAAAAAUGAUAUUACCUUACUAUAAGUGUUGUCUAAAUAACUGGUGCCAGAAGACUCGGUAACACCAGAAACGCGAACGUUAGUCGUCUUAAACAGGCGUAAAGGGUAAGUAGGCUGCUUUAAAGUCUAUUUUUAAAUAAGCUAAUUUAUAAUAUUCCGCUUUCUUUUUUUUUGUUUUUUAUUAAAUAUUAAAAAAAGAUUUUUCAGACUUUAAAUUAUAAUUAAGGCUAACUUACAAUGAAAAUAAGGAAUUAUAAAAAUUUAAAAAAUAGAAACACUUAAAGCUAAAAUCAUAAUUGAGAUAAACCAAAUAAUACUUAUGUGUAAGGGCGAUAUCUGAAAAUACUAAGUAGAAUACUAACAGUGAAAACUUUUUAUCUGGUAAUGAUUGACGCUGAGGUACGAAAGUGAGAACAGGGAAUAGGAUUAGAUACCCAGUUACCUCUCACCGUCAACGAUGAAUGGUAGUUGUUAGUUUAAUUAAAUUAGUGACGAUGUUAACACGAUAACCAUUCCGCCUUGAGAGUACGGUUGCAAAACUGAAACCAAAAAAAUUAGUCGGUCUCGGAGCCAAACGGACUGAAGCCAUGUUAUUUAAUUCGAAUAU
RNAcentral lists this ribosomal RNA (665 nucleotides) under Inocybe cf. praetervisa EL7206. RNAcentral's name for it is "16S ribosomal RNA". It matches the Rfam family "Bacterial small subunit ribosomal RNA", at positions 413 to 958 of the family's 1533-position model. The record is from RNAcentral. Lineage: Eukaryota; Fungi; Basidiomycota; Agaricomycetes; Agaricales; Inocybaceae.